GGACAGUUGGGUGAGCUGGCUGAAACCACCUCCCUGCUAAGGAGACGUGCUGGUAACGGCACCGAGGGUUCAAAUCCCUCACUGUCCGCCA
This 91-nucleotide transfer RNA is filed under the name Arcobacter suis CECT 7833. RNAcentral's name for it is "tRNA-Ser". It matches the Rfam family "tRNA". From Rfam's summary of the family: Transfer RNA (tRNA) molecules are approximately 80 nucleotides in length. Their secondary structure includes four short double-helical elements and three loops (D, anti-codon, and T loops). RNAcentral also lists the same sequence under 3 other names. The record is from RNAcentral. Lineage: Bacteria; Pseudomonadati; Campylobacterota; Epsilonproteobacteria; Campylobacterales; Arcobacteraceae.